RNAcentral lists this ribosomal RNA (513 nucleotides) under Veillonella sp. oral clone BP2-48. RNAcentral's name for it is "bacterial SSU rRNA". It matches the Rfam family "Bacterial small subunit ribosomal RNA", at positions 8 to 494 of the family's 1533-position model. The record is from RNAcentral. Lineage: Bacteria; Bacillati; Bacillota; Negativicutes; Veillonellales; Veillonellaceae.
AGAGUUUGAUCCUGGCUCAGGACGAACGCUGGCGGCGUGCUUAACACAUGCAAGUCGAACGAUGAGCGAUGGAAGCUUGCUUCUAUCAAUCUUAGUGGCGAACGGGUGAGUAACGCGUAAUCAACCUGCCCUUCAGAGGGGGACAACAGUUGGAAACGACUGCUAAUACCGCAUACGAUCUAAUCUCGGCAUCGAGGAUAGAUGAAAGGUGGCCUCUACAUGUAAGCUAUCACUGAAGGAGGGGAUUGCGUCUGAUUAGCUAGUUGGAGGGAUAACGGCCCACCAAGGCGAUGAUCAGUAGCCGGUCUGAGAGGAUGAACGGCCACAUUGGGACUGAGACACGGCCCAGACUCCUACGGGAGGCAGCAGUGGGGAAUCUUCCGCAAUGGACGAAAGUCUGACGGAGCAACGCCGCGUGAGUGAUGACGGCCUUCGGGUUGUAAAGCUCUGUUAAUCGGGACGAAAGGCCUUCUUGCGAAUAGUGAGAAGGAUGACGUACCGGAAAGAAGCCCG